This 256-nucleotide ribosomal RNA is filed under the name uncultured bacterium. RNAcentral describes it as "partial 16S ribosomal RNA". It matches the Rfam family "Bacterial small subunit ribosomal RNA", at positions 521 to 776 of the family's 1533-position model. The record is from RNAcentral. RNAcentral also lists the same sequence under 1 other name.
UAAUACGUAGGGACCAAGCGUUGUUCGGAUUUACUGGGCGUAAAGGGCGCGUAGGCGGUGCGGUAAGUCACUUGUGAAAUCUCUGAGCUUAACUCAGAACGGCCAAGUGAUACUGCAGUACUAGAGUGCAGAAGGGGCAAUCAGAAUUCUUGGUGUAGCGGUGAAAUGCGUAGAUAUCAAGAGGAAUACCUGAGGUGAAGACGGGUUGCUAGGCUGACACUGACGCUGAGGCGCGAAAGCUAGGGGAGCAAACGGG